This is a non-coding RNA of Acanthosepion pharaonis, 104 nucleotides long. The record is from the annotation of a GenBank genome assembly. Lineage: Eukaryota; Metazoa; Mollusca; Cephalopoda; Sepiida; Sepiidae.
CAUGUCACAUGGAAACUGGUUCCCAUUUGAUCACUAAAGUUAAACAAUGUCGAGCCUGGUCAGUACCUUGAUGGGUGACUACUUGGGAAUACCAGGUGCUGUGA